Non-coding RNA from Phasianus colchicus (ring-necked pheasant), 3902 nucleotides. The record is from RefSeq and is a predicted model, not a curated record. NCBI's taxonomy places the organism in Eukaryota, Metazoa, Chordata, Aves, Galliformes, Phasianidae.
CAGCUCCAUCCGCCAAUCGGCUGCGGGCCCCUGCGCGGGCUCUGCCGCGGGACCCGGCCUGACCCUGCCCGGCCGUCAGCUCUCUGUAUCCUGCUGCCGCUUCUGCUCCGCGCCUCGCCUGCGCCCAGCCCCAAGAGUUCGGAGGUGCGGAGGUGCGGAGGAAGCUCUCUUGCUGGCCAGUUUCCAGGGUGCAGCAGCCGGAUUUGCAGAAAUGAAAUUUCCCCAUGGCUCUCCAUACCUCGUCCAGUGUUAAUGAAAUAACGGGGCACACCAGUGCACAGCUGUGGAGCUCAGAGCCGUGGAUGUGCUGGGGGCUGUUGACACUGCGAGCGGAGGCGGUGAAGGAAGGUUGGGGAGCUUCAAGAAACGUCUGCACAGAUUUGCUCCACUUUCUAAACGUGCGUGCUUUGGGCAUAUCCUGCGUGCCUGGACAGACAGCAUCUGAGUGGCCUGAAUACACUUAGAAAACCCAAGUCUUCAUUGCUUGUGUGAGCAUAGGUGCAGAGAUGUCUGCUUUGGAGGAGCAUCUGAUCAGAUAUGGGAUGUGGUGUGGGCCCAUGUUGUCUGCUGCCCUCCCCCAGCAAAUAUCUUGGUCUAAAUACAAAGACUUGCAGGAUUGAAAGCUUUCUUUCAGUAGAUUUUUCUUAUUUUGUUCCUAAACCGUGCAGGAUCUGCAGCAGCCCAUGGAAGGAGGGCAGCUGAGCACAGACUUAUCUCCUCAUGCUUACCUCUCAUCUUCCACUCUCUCCCCACUCCCCUGAGCUGUGCAGGUCUCUGCCCGGUGUCCCCAUUUUUCUCUUUUCUAUGCCAAAGAGCCUCAAUCCAUCACACACCCCACGUGCAGAACCUUGGAUCAUCCUGUUGCCCUUCUCUGCACAUUUUCCUGUUAUGCUGUACUCUUGGAAGGGGAGGACCAGGACCACAGACCAGGAUCUGGGUCUGACCCAGAGAACAGUGAUGUCUCUGAUGCAUUCUCUACCUUUUCCUAACCCUUCCCAAAUCAGUUUUGGCUGAGAAGUUUUGCAGUUUUGGCCUCCACUGAUUGCUGAGGGGACAUUUUCAUGGCUGUCAGAGCUCCUGGCCUCAGAGCCCAUCACUUUAGACACUGAGGUCAGGCUUUGUUUCCCCACGUGUGUCACUUCACUGACACUGGCUUUCAUCUUGCUUUAUUGCCAAGCUGCUCAAGCUCUCAGAAGUCCUCCUGCCAUUCUUAGCACUCAUCUGCAGUACCCAGAAUAAUUCAGUAUUAUUAGCAGAUUGCGUCACUUCUCCACUGAUCUAUCUCAGAGGAUCAGCUUGUGGAAAUGCAGGUGACCUCUCAGUUGGAUCUCUCUCAGGCACCUGCUGCUUUUUCCUUGAAAGCCACUAGCUUUGGAAGAAAGAAACCUCCUUUAAAAGAGCUGUGCUGACUCUUCCCCAGUAUGUCAUAUUUACCCAUCUGUCCCCUAACGAUGCCAGUUUUCUGCUCCUUAUGCCAGUUUUUGUUCAUUUGCAGAGAACAGAUGUGUCAUUUAUCAGUCUGUGGCUCCCUGGCUGCCUCCUUGGAAGCAGUUCUGGUGUUGCAGCUUCCCCCUCCCAGUCCCUCUGUCCCCUGCUGUACCCAGAGCUCAGGGGAAGCUCUGCAUGGUCAGCAAAUAUAUGGUCAUCUCUGCUUGUGUAGGUGGCUCCAAGAACAGAAGGAGCUGGAGGUACUACAGACAUUCAUGGGCUUUUAUUCAAAACUGUGGAAGAAGCACCUGAAGGUUCACAGGAUCACAUGCUCCCUGCAAUCCAGGGAGGUGCUGGUCUCAGUGCCUGACUCAAGUGAUGAUGGUGGCAAGUGUCAAAUGCUAAAUCCAGGCCCCACAUCACCUGUGGGUGAAUCCUCUUUUUGUGCCUCCUCCAGAGCAUGCAGGGGCAGAGAUGUUCCCCUUUGAGCCACCAAAAUCCCACAGCCAUAAAUUGGGCACCAAACCCAGGCCUCUGCUGCCUGUGGAACCUUCAGAAUGCUGGGCUGCAGCCACUUAAACUGGGCACCAAGGGCACCAAGGGAGCCACGGGGACCAUGCAACCUGGGCCCUUCCAGACCCAGACAAGGUCCCAUGUCCUGUUUUUGGCCUAGGAAGCAGAACAGGGCUCCCAUCCCCAGCUGCAGAUGAGCCUAAGGAGCGCUCAGACCUGCUGAAGCAGCUCCUCCCAUCAGCCAGGAGGGCAGAUAAGGGCUGAGGGCAUGCACAGGGCUGGCGGGGGCCCAGAAGGCUUUACCUGGCUUUCUCUUCCUGGUGCAUGCUUCAACCUGCUUGGGAAGCAUUUACACAGGAAAUGGUGAGAGAAAGGACCGUGCUGCCAGCCCUGGCCCAAAGGCAACAGGGAAGAGCUCCUGGAUCCUCUUGAGAUGGAGGCAGAUGGCAGGAGAUGGGAGCAGAGCUCCUACCAAGGCCUCACUAAGAUGACCUUCCAUCUCACCUCUUUUAGAACCCUGUGAGCCAAACAUCCCUUCUGCGCGGCCAUGAAGUGCUCACCUCCCAGUCAAAGGCUGCAAAUGGUGGCUCCACUGCCAUCUUCCCUGGGGCCCAAGGCAGCAUCCUGCCAGGAGCUCCUUGCCGUGGCUGCGUGAGGGAGCAGACAAAAUGUUGAGUCUGGCACACACGCAUGCUCCUGGUCCUCUCCCAUCUGUCAGCUCUGUGCCCCUUGCCAAGUCCUGCACGAGCAACGCUUCAUGACAGCCAUCUGUCACAGGGCCUGGCCAUGUGGCCUUGCAGAUGGAGUGGCAUCGAGGCCACGGAUGUGGCACCAGGGCUGAUCGCUGUGGUGCAGGCAUCAACCCUCUGUCCCAAUGUGCAUCAGAGAUGAUGGAUAUAAACACUUUGGGCACUGGAGCAAAAUCAGCCACAGCGAGACGCAGAUGGAGUUCAGCUUUGGCAGUGUGAAUGCAGAAAUCUGUAGCUGCUUCUUAGAGCCUGAAACACGCCACCAAGAAUGGAGAGAUGUCGCCUGUGUCCUGUCACGACUGCAGAAAAAAAAAGCAGCCUGUGCCUGUGCUGAGCCAUGUGGGGUGCAGAGCUCAGAGCACCCUUCAGAUCUCUCCCAGCACAAAGGCGUCUCCUGAGGGGCUCCCACCCGGCUCUGCCCUCCUCACCGCACACACCGUGCUGCUGUCGACCUGCUCUGGGCUCCUCCCUUAAAAAGGAAAAGCCAACACUGCUCGAAACUGAAGGCUCAGGUGGGUCCCGAGAUGCUCCUUUGCGAUGCCCCUGCAGCUGCCUCACCAAGGGGAGAUGCAAUGGGGUGGGAUGGAAAGGAACAGGCACUACCAUUCCUCCAGCAUGGCAGUAUUUUUAAAAAAGCUGCCGCCACAAGCUGGUCCCUCCUCCCAGAGGAUGCAGAGUGCGUGCUUUGCCAGCCUGAGGACUGAACCAGAGCCACUGGUAGCAGAUGUGGCUGAACAUCCUCCUUGGCUGCUACAGGCACUGGAAGUGCUGUCAUUCAUGUGCCAUCAGCCCUGCAUCCUGCUUCCUUCCCACCGCUGGACAGACAGAUUGAGAACCUGUCGUUUCUGUAUUUUAAUAACUAUUUCAUCAUCUCCAUCUGCCAGGAUUUAGCGUGUGCCCGACCUCAAAUGCUGCCUUGCGCUCAACCUGUGCGUGGCAGGCAGCUUUUCUCCUGAAGUCUUUUGUAUCCCAUAUUCUCUGAAUACAGAUACACUCUGAAUUUCCUAAUCUUGACUGCUGGGUGCUGCCUGGUUGGGAAUCUGGAAGGGUUUCGCGGGUAGAAGCAAGCAGUGUGAGCUACAGCUUUCCAAACAGCCUCCCCAGAGAACGGGCACCACUCAGCGCAGCCUUCCCAUACAUUCAAGUUGCCCCCACCUCUCCCUCGCCGCCACCCCGGCGGCUCUUCCACCCGUGCCGAGGAGAGCGGGGGCA